GUGGGGAAUAUUGGACAAUGGGCGAAAGCCUGAUCCAGCCAUGCCGCGUGUGUGAAGAAGGUCUUCGGAUUGUAAAGCACUUUAAGUUGGGAGGAAGGGCAGUAAGUUAAUACCUUGCUGUUUUGACGUUACCGACAGAAUAAGCACCGGCUAACUUCGUGCCAGCAGCCGCGGUAAUACGAAGGGUGCAAGCGUUAAUCGGAAUUACUGGGCGUAAAGCGCGCGUAAGUGGUUUUGUAAGUUGGAGGUGAAAUCCCCGGGCUCAACCUGGGAACUGCCUCCAAAACUGCAUGACUAGAGUACGGUAGAGGGUAGUGGAAUUUCCUGUGUAGCGGUGAAAUGCGUAGAUAUAGGAAGGAACACCAGUGGCGAAGGCGACUACCUGGACUGAUACUGACACUGAGGUGCGAAAGCGUGGGGAGCAAACAGGAUUAGAUACCCCUGUAGUCC
This 450-nucleotide ribosomal RNA is filed under the name uncultured bacterium. RNAcentral's name for it is "partial 16S ribosomal RNA". It matches the Rfam family "Bacterial small subunit ribosomal RNA", at positions 354 to 796 of the family's 1533-position model. The record is from RNAcentral.